Molecule: ribosomal RNA, 648 nt
Filed under: uncultured fungus
Lineage: Eukaryota; Fungi
Description: eukaryotic LSU rRNA
Rfam family: Eukaryotic large subunit ribosomal RNA
Source: RNAcentral
CCCGCUGAACUUAAGCAUAUCACUAAGCGGAGGAAAAGAAAUUAACUAAGAUUGCCUCAGUAACGGCGAGUGAAGCGGCAAAAGCCCAAACUGGAAAUCUUCACACUGUGUGUGACGAAUUGUAAUCUACAGGUGGGAAGCUCAAUUGGUGGUGGCGCAGAAGUUCCUACGAACAGGACGCCAGAGAGGGUGACAGCCCCGUAUGUGGUGCCGCUGCCUAACGAGCUCCUUUCUAAGAGUCGGGUUGUUUUGAAUUGCAGCCCUAAGCUGGAGAUAGACUUCUUCUAAGGCUAAAUAUUUAUGGGAAACCGAUAGCGAACAAGUACUGUGAAGGAAAGAUGAAAAGAACUUUGAAAAGAGAGUCAAAAGACUUGAAAUCGUUGAGAAGGAAGCGGUAGAAAUUUAUUCUUCGGCGUAGAACAAAGGUGUUUGCCUAACCAUUGGCUCAUUCAGCACUGAAAGGGCUGCUUGUUCCAUCUGGGGAAGCGAUAGCUGAGUUCUUAGCUGUGAGGCAAGAUGAGGUGCUACAUCCACAAAAGCUUCAUUACUAGGGUUUCCCACGGUAAAGUGUGCUGGUGGGCGUGGUGCCUGAGGGUGCUUCGUGCGAUCUUGCUAAAAUGGUUUUUACCGACCCGUCUUGAAACACGG